This is an RNA transcript of Manis javanica (Malayan pangolin), 2286 nucleotides long. It is a transcript of the gene named MUS81 structure-specific endonuclease subunit, with no coding region annotated. The record is from RefSeq and is a predicted model, not a curated record. NCBI's taxonomy places the organism in Eukaryota, Metazoa, Chordata, Mammalia, Pholidota, Manidae.
CUUAGGCUCUUCUGAGUCUCCACCGUCCUCUUCACGGGUGACACUUUUAACGGACAACCUCAGAUUCCGUUAAACGCCGCCUCAGCCAGCCCUCCCAGCCACCGGAGGCGCUGUUCGCCUUCCUCUUUCCUGCACAAAGAGAACGCCGCUCUCGAAUUUGGGGUGUAAGGAAGGGGCGGGUCAAGACGCUGAGGGCCGGGGUGGACCGUGUCCCAAACGCUCGUUCUGGCGUGAGGGGCGGGGGACGAAAGUCCGUAGAGACGCUCGCGGCACUACUUAAAGUAGUACAGGGGCGGGGAGGGCAGCAGGAGGCUGUCUUCUAGUUAGUGCCCCGUGUUGGGACCACGUGGUUGGAGAAGUCCCGCCCUCACCCUCCAGAGUCCGGUGUUCGAAUCUUUUCUCAAGAAGUGGCGGUGUCCCAGUCGCGCCGGCUUGAGGCGCCAGAGGACCCACGGUGGGACUCAUGGCAGCGCCGGUCCGCCUGGGCCGGAAACGCCCGCUGCCGGUGUGCCCCAAUCCGCUUUUCGUGCGCUGGCUGAGCGAGUGGCGGGACGAGGCAGCCAGCAGGGGGCGCCGCACUCAAUUCGUGUUUCAGAAGGCGCUGCGCUCCCUCCGGCGGUACCCACUGCCCCUGCGCAGCGGCAAGGAAGCUAAGAUCCUGCGGCACUUCGGAGACGGGCUCUGCCGGAUGCUGGACGAGCGACUGCAGCAGCACCAAGCGUCAGGCGGUGACCAUGUGGAUCCACCACCUGGAGCAAAGAGUCCAGCCCCAGGAGGGCCACCUGCGGGAGUCCCAGACUCUUCCAUGCCAAUUCCAGCCCAGCGCAAAGCCGGAGGCUCUAGCAGCAGCUGGCCAGCUCGGCACUCAGGAGCGCGAGCAGUACUGUUGCUGCUCUACAGGGAGCACCUGAGUCCUAGUGGCCACAGCUUCCUAACCAAGGAGGAGUUGCUGCAGAGGUGUACACAGAAGGCUCCCAAGGUGGCCCUUGGGAGUGCUCGGCCCUGGCCAGCCCUCCGCUCCCUCCUUCAGAGGAACCUGGUCCACAGGACACACAGACCAGCCAGGUACUCAUUGACCCCGGAGGGUCUGGAGCUGGCCCAGAAGCUGGCCGAGUCAGAGGGUCUGAGUUCACUGACUGUGGGCAUUGGGCCAGAGCAGACCCCUGGGGAGGAGCCGGAAGUGCCAGGAGCAGCCUCGGCUGAGCUAGGCGCCAGCAAAGGGAGUAUUCAGCAGCCUCCACUGGAGCUGGGGCCUGGAGAGUACAGGGUGCUGUUGUGUGUGGACGUUGGCGAGACCAAGGGGGCAGGACACAGGUCAGAGCUGCUCCGCCAGCUGCAGCGGCUGCACGUGACCCACAUGGUGCGUAAGCUGCAUGUUGGGGACUUUGUGUGGGUGGCGCAGGAAACCUGCCCUAGAAAUCCAGCGAGGCCUGGGGAGCUAGUCUUGGACCACAUUGUGGAGCGCAAGCGACUGGAUGACCUGUGCAGCAGCAUCAUUGACGGCCGCUUCCGGGAGCAGAAGUUCCGGCUGAAACGCUGUGGCCUAGGGCACCGAGUGUACCUGGUGGAGGAAUAUGGCUCAGUGCACAAGCUCAGCCUUCCCGAGAGCACGCUGCUACAGGCUGUCACCAAUACUCAGGUCAUCGAUGGAUUCUUUGUGAAGCGCACAGCAGACAUUAAGGAGUCAGCUGCCUAUCUGGCCCUCCUGACGCGGGGCCUGCAGAGAUUCUAUCAGGGCCGUGCCCUCUGCAGUCGCCCCUGGGGAACCCCAGGGGAUGCUGAAUCAGGGUCCAGGCCCUCCCCAGAUCCUGUCUGUUCACUCCUCACCUUCAAUGACUUCAACUCAGGAGCCAUCAAGAACAAGGCCCAGUCAGUGCAGGAGGUGUUUGCCAGGCAGCUGAUGCAGGUGUGUGGAGUGAGUGGGGAGAAAGCAGCAGCCCUGGUGGAUCGGUUCAGCACCCCUGCCAGCAACUCAGAAUGGGCCAGCAGUGUGCCACUGUCAAGCCUUAGAAACUCAAACACCCCAUCCCAUCCCCAGCCUACUGGCCGCCUAUGAUUCCUGUGGCACCCCCAAGGAACAGGAGAUGAUGCUGAGCACCAUCAAGUGUGGGCAGCUACAGAGGAAUCUGGGGCCUGCUUUGAGCAGGACCUUGUCCCAGCUCUACUGCAGCCCCGGCCCCCUGACCUGACCUAUGCCACGAGACAGACCCCAGCCUCAUCUUCCCAGGUUCGCCAGCCUUUUAAUCUGAAUCUCUUGGGCUACAAUAAAAACCUAAGUGUUUGCAA